Molecule: ribosomal RNA, 465 nt
Filed under: uncultured bacterium
Lineage: Bacteria
Description: partial 16S ribosomal RNA
Rfam family: Bacterial small subunit ribosomal RNA
Source: RNAcentral
CCUACGGGAGGCAGCAGUGGGGAAUAUUGCGCAAUGGGCGAAAGCCUGACGCAGCGACGCCGCGUGAGGGAUGAAGGUCUUCGGAUCGUAAACCUCUGUCAGUAGGGAAGAACGGUCACUGUGCUAAUCAGCAGUGAAUUGACGGUACCUGCAAAGGAAGCACCGGCGAACUCCGUGCCAGCAGCCGCGGUAAUACGGAGGGUGCGUGCGUUGAUCGGAAUGACUGGGCGUAAAGCGAACGUAGGCGGUAGGUCAAGUCAAGGGUGAAAUGCCACGGCUCAACCGUGGAACUGCCGUUGAAACUGGCAGACUGGAGUAUGUGAGAGGGCGGCGGAAGUCCUGGUGUAGGAGUGAAAUCCGUAGAUAUCAGGAGGAACAUCGGUGGCGAAGGCGGCCGCCUGGCACAAAACUGACGCUGAGGUGCGAAAGCGUGGGUAGCAAACAGGAUUAGAUACCCUAGUAGUC